Molecule: long non-coding RNA, 1428 nt
Organism: Parasteatoda tepidariorum (common house spider)
Lineage: Eukaryota; Metazoa; Arthropoda; Arachnida; Araneae; Theridiidae
Source: RefSeq, a predicted model, not a curated record
GAGUAACAACUUGUUCAAUUACUGUAAAACAAACAACACCCUUGGAAAUUUUACUCGAUACAUAUAGCUGAACAAUUCUUCUUUGGAUGGUGCUUUUCUUAAAAGUGACGAAGUUAAAACUGUCUCUAUGCUAAGUGUUUAGAUAGUUGCCAUGACAAUAGGAUAAUCCCUUCUUUCCAUAGCGCUUUACUCAAAAGUAAUUUAUCUGAAACUAGAGCUAAGUUGUGUGUUUAAGUUUUUCAGGAAGAAUGCAUCUUCAAAAAUCUACCAUCCUGCAAAUGAUGGAAAUUGCACUCUUAAGUGUAGCAAUUUUCCCAUAUUGCUUUAGUAAGCCUUCUGAAAUUAUAAGAAAUCAAGAGGACAAAUCAUACAACCAGCUAAAGGAAGGGAUUCUUCACAACAAUAACAAAAUCGUCAUCUCAUGUACUUUUGGAGAAAAAGUAAUACUUAUCAUCGACAAUGAAAACUCAAGCUUGCAAGCAAUGGAUCAGAAUCUUGAAAAACUCAUAAAUAAGUCAUGUACAUUGCUUUCGAUUUCCUCGUAAAAUGGCCAUUGCACAUUGAUCUCUGAAAUGCAUGUAAAUAAUGAAUUAAAUAUAUCGUUGGACAAUCUUCAACGCUUCUACGAAUUUGAUCCCCUGCCUAAGGAGAUUUCUAUAAUCAAUCUCCAGUUUCACAAAAAUAAUUGAUUCACGUCUUCACAAAUUGACCACCUAUGUGGAUGAAAUUGGUGCAUAACAUGAGAUCAACUGGCGCAGGUUUGACUUGAUUUAGCUUUACAAAACGUAUCAAGUGCAUUAAGAAAACGGAUAAGAUCUUUAUUUUUUAUGAAUUCUUUUGAAAUUUUCCCUGUUAUCGUAAAUGAUUGAAAUCAAGAGGAUGUCGAUUUUCACCGGUGAAUGUCAAGAAUCACAUACUCGCUUUGGUGAAUGUCCAAAAUAUUUGUUAUAUCCUAUUUGAUAUUAAUUUAUUCGUUGAUAUUAUUAUUUUUAUUCGAUAGUUAAAUAUUUUCUGAGGAUAGAUUACGAAAAAUAUCAGUGUUAAGAGUACCGAUUAAAUGCAUGACGGAUAGUGAUACUUUUAACUUUAAAAGAACAUGAGUGUAGGGUAUACCGGACACCGAGUAGGGUAUACCGGACACCAAGUACACCGGGCAGUGGUACUUAAAUAGACCUUGUACUCAUAUAUAUUUCGGAGCCUCGGUAGCGCAGUAGGCAGCGCUUUAGACUCAUAUAUAUUUCGGACAUUUAACAAAGCGAACAUGUGAUUGUCAACAUUCACCGGUUACAGUGCUGGUAGAAGUCAACAACCGCCAAUUCCAGUCAUUCAAAGUGACAUUGCACUAGUAUUGUACUAGUAAGUAAGUUUCUGAACUGUAUAUAAUUAUGCUUUAUGAGUAUUUAAUAAUAAAGUUAUUCUCGAUCUUUU